RNAcentral lists this long non-coding RNA (801 nucleotides) under Olea europaea subsp. europaea. Lineage: Eukaryota; Viridiplantae; Streptophyta; Magnoliopsida; Lamiales; Oleaceae. The record is from RNAcentral.
GCCUAUAUGGCAAUUAAAAAAAAGUUAGAUAAAGAUUAAUCAGAAGCCAACACUUCAUUUAUCCCCAAAGAUUCUCCAAACUGUCAAAGUCCUCUCCAUCUCCAUCUCCAUCUCCUCCCUUCCCUUCACAAUGGUGACGAAACACCGACGUACUCGUCUCCACCUCCGACGACACCUCGCAACCCAUCCUGACCAAGUUACUUUUCCCCAAUUUUCUAACCCUUCGAAGCUUGCGUGCAAGAGCCGUCACUUGAAGCCGACUUCGCCUCUACAGCGUUUUCAUAUCAGGCCGCACUCUCUAUAUGGGUAUCCCAGCAAUCUUCUUUCAUCACUUUCUUACUGGAUCAAUAUACUCUAUCCAAAUAUCUCAUUUAUGGAAUAAACUUGUUAAAAAAACAUGUACAAUUAGCUCCAGAAGACAGUGAAUUUUGACCAAAAUAUUUUUCUAUCAACACAAGCAUCUUAAUCAAAGUAAUUCUUACAUAAAUAUGGAUCAUCAAUAUAAAGACCAUAUAAAACAUUAAUGACAUCAAGGAACAAUUUGUAUGCAAUAAGAAAAAUGACCUAAUUCAUCUCAAGAAUUAAAGAUGGCUUGGCCGGCGACUGUCACAUGGAGCAAUUGCUAGAUUUCAUGCAUUGGGGAAAUGGGCGGAAUGAGGGUUGUUUCCAAAAGUUUGGCUCAAGUGGGAAUUAGUUGGAGGAGGAGAAUAUGGCUGGUCGGAAAACAGUCGUGUCGUUGGCAAUCGUCAGAGUUGCCGGAUUUUGUGCUUCAGAGAAAUGAAUGGGAGAAAUAAGGUUUUG